GACGAACGCUGGCGGCGUGCUUAACACAUGCAAGUCGAACGGAAAGGCCCUGCUUUUGUGGGGUGCUCGAGUGGCGAACGGGUGAGUAACACGUGAGUAACCUGCCCUUGACUUUGGGAUAACUUCAGGAAACUGGGGCUAAUACCGGAUAGGAGCUCCUGCUGCAUGGUGGGGGUUGGAAAGUUUCGGCGGUUGGGGAUGGACUCGCGGCUUAUCAGCUUGUUGGUGGGGUAGUGGCUUACCAAGGCUUUGACGGGUAGCCUGCCUGAGAGGGUGACCGGGCACAUUGGGACUGAGAUACGGCCCAGACUCCUACGGGAGGCAGCAGUGGGGAAUAUUGCACAAUGGGCGGAAGCCUGAUGCAGAAACGCCGCGUGCGGGAUGACGGCCUUCGGGUUGUAAACCGCUUUCGCCUGUGACGAAGCGUGAGUGACGGUAAUGGGUAAAGAAGCACCGGCUAACUACGUG
Molecule: ribosomal RNA, 468 nt
Filed under: uncultured bacterium
Lineage: Bacteria
Description: partial 16S ribosomal RNA
Rfam family: Bacterial small subunit ribosomal RNA
Source: RNAcentral